This 854-nucleotide long non-coding RNA is filed under the name Chinchilla lanigera (long-tailed chinchilla). RNAcentral describes it as "lncRNA (ENSCLAG00000025875.1)". The record is from RNAcentral. Lineage: Eukaryota; Metazoa; Chordata; Mammalia; Rodentia; Chinchillidae.
CUCUUGGCCAGGUUCCUCUCUAAACUGUCACUCCCAUCUGUGGUGUUGCCUGCUCUGGGCAGGGGAUGCUAAGAGUUCAUCACUGCACAGGAUUCCUGGAGGCCUGCAAGAGAACAGACCGUGCCUGGACGCACCAGUGAGCCAUAUUUCCAAAUCGCUGCAGUGCUGGGUGCUUGGAGGACAGGCCAGAGCCUUGGAGUCCUGGACUGGUUUUCAAGUUUUAAAGCGGGCACCUGUGGAGUGAUGGAUGGGGAAAGGUCUCACUUAAAAGGAGCACAGUUGACUUCAGCCUUAGAGUAGGCUGGGCAGUAUUUUGUCCCUCACAGAUGGACAGCGGUGAGUGGCCAGGCUCUCACAUGCCUAGUUCAGGAGCAGCAGCCAAGUUCUCUCAUUUUUAAGUCGAACCAGCCUCCAGAUUCGUCAGACUGCCUCUUCCCCAGAGGGUUGGGGAAACAGAAGCAACUGCCUACAGCAAAUAUGCUGCGGCUUCCUCCACAGACACAGCGUUCCAGGAGUGCAUGGCUCCAUGGAAACCGAGAGGAGAGAGUGUGUACAUGGUGUUUCUUCUAGGUCUACUCCAGUUCUCAUGAGAAGCCGAGGAGCCCCUGCAUAUUUUAUGAUUCCUGCUUUUCUCUGGGAGCAGCUGCUCUUUUGAUGCACAUUUACCGAGCACCUCUUUCUUACCAAGCCCUGUUCUAGGCCGGGGGAUACCCAAGAAGCAAGCCAGAUGUUGUUCCAGUCCUCAGCAGAAGCAGAAAGCUUGCUUAAAAUGAUGACUCCUAGAGCUAGUUAGUUCUAUGACUAAUUCUAAGAAUGCCCUAGUAAAUAUUUAUUUUAAUAAACAAAUGUUUAAA